Molecule: ribosomal RNA, 406 nt
Filed under: uncultured bacterium
Lineage: Bacteria
Description: partial 16S ribosomal RNA
Rfam family: Bacterial small subunit ribosomal RNA
Source: RNAcentral
AUUGAACGCUGGCGGCAGGCCUAACACAUGCAAGUCGAACGAGUGGCGGACGGGUGAGUAAUGUCUGGGAAACUGCCUUAUGGAGGGGGAUAACGACUGGAAACGGUAGCUAAUACCGCAUACCAUCGGAUGUGCCCAGAUGGGAUUAGCUAGUCGGUGGGGGAAAGGCUCACCUAGGCGACGAUCCCUAGCUGGUCUGAGAGGAUGACCAGCCACACUGGGACGGAGACACGGCCCAGACUCCUACGGGAGGCAGCAGUGGGGAAUAUUGCACAAUGGGCGCAAGCCUGAUGCAGCCAUGCCGCGUGGAUGAAGAAGGCCUUCGGGUUGUAAAGUACUUUCAGUGGGGAGGCGUUACCCGCAGAAGAAGCACCGGCUAACUCCGUGCCAGCAGCCGCGGUAAUAC